AACGAACGCUGGCGGCAUGCCUAACACAUGCAAGUCGAACGAAGCCUUCGGGCUUAGUGGCGCACGGGUGCGUAACGCGUGGGAAUCUGCCCCUUGCUUCGGAAUAACAGUUAGAAAUGACUGCUAAUACCGGAUGAAGUCUUCGGACCAAAGAUUUAUCGGCAAGGGAUGAGCCCGCGUAGGAUUAGGUAGUUGGUGGGGUAAAGGCCUACCAAGCCGACGAUCCUUAGCUGGUCUGAGAGGAUGAUCAGCCACACUGGGACUGAGACACGGCCCAGACUCCUACGGGAGGUAGCAGUGGGGAAUAUUGGACAAUGGACGCAAGUCUGAUCCAGCAAUGCCGCGUGAGUGAUGAAGGCCUUAGGGUUGUAAAGCUCUUUUACCAGGGAUGAUAAUGACAGUACCUGGAGAAUAAGCUCCGGCUAACUCCGUG
Molecule: ribosomal RNA, 433 nt
Filed under: uncultured bacterium
Lineage: Bacteria
Description: partial 16S ribosomal RNA
Rfam family: Bacterial small subunit ribosomal RNA
Source: RNAcentral